GUAUUGCACAAUUAACAAGCUUUCAACCUUGCAAUCUGCCUACCAUCACAUUAGUAUCACUCUUGCUAAAGAAGCCUUCAUAUCUGCUGCUCAAUUUACCUCCAACUUGACAUUGCGCAAACUCGACAAAAAUUACCCUAAACUCACCUUCUUAUCUCCAGUUCACUGUCACACACACAAAGUUACUAUAUGUGAAAAUCCUUCAAUUACUGCAACCCAAUGAGGCAGCUAGUAUUAUUGAUACAGAAAGACAUUGAAA
Octopus sinensis (East Asian common octopus) is the source of this 259-nucleotide long non-coding RNA. RefSeq lists it as uncharacterized. The record is from RefSeq and is a predicted model, not a curated record. The transcript has 2 exons. NCBI's taxonomy places the organism in Eukaryota, Metazoa, Mollusca, Cephalopoda, Octopoda, Octopodidae.